UACAGAGGUUUCAAGCGUUGUUCGGAUUCAUUGGGCGUAAAGGGUGCGUAGGCGGCGCGGUAAGUCGGGUGUGAAAUCUCGGAGCUUAACUCCGAAACUGCAUUCGAUACUGCCGUGCUUGAGGACUGGAGAGGAGACUGGAAUUUACGGUGUAGCGGUGAAAUGCGUAGAUAUCGUAAGGAAGACCAGUGGCGAAGGCGGGUCUCUGGACAGUUCCUGACGCUGAGGCACGAAAGCUAGGGGAGCAAACAGG
RNAcentral lists this ribosomal RNA (253 nucleotides) under uncultured bacterium. RNAcentral's name for it is "partial 16S ribosomal RNA". It matches the Rfam family "Bacterial small subunit ribosomal RNA", at positions 524 to 776 of the family's 1533-position model. The record is from RNAcentral.